GACGAACGCUGGCGGCGUGCUUAACACAUGCAAGUCGAGCGGAAAGGCCCUUCGGGGUACUCGAGCGGCGAACGGGUGAGUAACACGUGAGUAACCUGCCCCAGACUUUGGGAUAACCCUCGGAAACGGGGGCUAAUAUCGGAUACGACACAGCUUCGCAUGGGGUCUGUGUGGAAAGUUUUUCGGUUUGGGAUGGGCUCGCGGCCUAUCAGCUUGUUGGUGGGGUGAUGGCCUACCAAGGCGACGACGGGUAGCCGGCCUGAGAGGGCGACCGGCCACACUGGGACUGAGACACGGCCCAGACUCCUACGGGAGGCAGCAGUGGGGAAUAUUGCACAAUGGGCGGAAGCCUGAUGCAGCGACGCCGCGUGAGGGAUGACGGCCUUCGGGUUGUAAACCUCUUUCAGCAGGGACGAAGCGUAAGUGACGGUACCUGCAGAAGAAGCGCCGGCCAACUACGUG
RNAcentral lists this ribosomal RNA (462 nucleotides) under uncultured bacterium. RNAcentral's name for it is "partial 16S ribosomal RNA". It matches the Rfam family "Bacterial small subunit ribosomal RNA", at positions 28 to 507 of the family's 1533-position model. The record is from RNAcentral.